GUCUACAGCCAUAGCAUCUUGAAAGCGCAUGAUCCCGUCAGAUCUCAAAUGCAAUCAAGGGUAGGGCUUGUUCAGUACCAGUGUGGGUGACUAACUGGGAAUAGCAAGUGCUGUAGUCC
Molecule: ribosomal RNA, 119 nt
Organism: Leptobrachium leishanense (Leishan spiny toad)
Lineage: Eukaryota; Metazoa; Chordata; Amphibia; Anura; Megophryidae
Source: Ensembl